This 253-nucleotide ribosomal RNA is filed under the name uncultured bacterium. RNAcentral's name for it is "partial 16S ribosomal RNA". It matches the Rfam family "Bacterial small subunit ribosomal RNA", at positions 524 to 776 of the family's 1533-position model. The record is from RNAcentral.
UACAGAGGGUGCGAGCGUUAAUCGGAAUUACUGGGCGUAAAGCGCACGUAGUCGGCUUUGCAAGUCGGUUGUGAAAUCCCCGGGCUCAACCUGGGAACUGCAUCCGAGACUGCAUUGCUAGAGUAUGGGAGAGGAAAGCGGAAUUUCUGGUGUAGCAGUGAAAUGCGUAGAUAUCAGAAGGAACAUCAGUGGCGAAGGCGGCUUUCUGGACCAACACUGACACUGAGGAGCGAAAGCCAGGGGAGCAAACGGG